Molecule: ribosomal RNA, 807 nt
Filed under: Thelonectria lucida
Lineage: Eukaryota; Fungi; Ascomycota; Sordariomycetes; Hypocreales; Nectriaceae
Description: eukaryotic LSU rRNA
Rfam family: Eukaryotic large subunit ribosomal RNA
Source: RNAcentral
AACGGCGAGUGAAGCGGCAACAGCUCAAAUUUGAAAUCUGGCCCUCGGGUCCGAGUUGUAAUUUGUAGAGGAUGCUUUUGGUGCGGUGCCUUCCGAGUUCCCUGGAACGGGACGCCAUAGAGGGUGAGAGCCCCGUCUGGUCGGACACCAAGCCUCUGUAAAGCUCCUUCGACGAGUCGAGUAGUUUGGGAAUGCUGCUCUAAAUGGGAGGUAUAUGUCUUCUAAAGCUAAAUACCGGCCAGAGACCGAUAGCGCACAAGUAGAGUGAUCGAAAGAUGAAAAGCACUUUGAAAAGAGAGUUAAACAGUACGUGAAAUUGUUGAAAGGGAAGCGCUUAUGACCAGACUUGGGCCUGUCGGAUCAACCUGGGUUCUCCUGGGUGCACUCCUUCAGGUUCAGGCCAGCAUCAGUUCGGCGCGGGGGACAAAGGCUUCGGGAAUGUGGCUCCCCCCGGGGAGUGUUAUAGCCCGUUGCGUAAUACCCUGCGCUGGACUGAGGUUCGCGCAUCUUGCAAGGAUGCUGGCGUAAUGGUCAUCAGCGACCCGUCUUGAAACACGGACCAAGGAGUCGUCUUCGUAUGCGAGUGUUCGGGUGUUAAACCCCUACGCGUAAUGAAAGUGAACGCAGGUGAGAGCUUCGGCGCAUCAUCGACCGAUCCUGAUGUUCUCGGAUGGAUUUGAGUAAGAGCAUACGGGGCCGGACCCGAAAGAAGGUGAACUAUGCCUGUGUAGGGUGAAGCCAGAGGAAACUCUGGUGGAGGCUCGCAGCGGUUCUGACGUGCAAAUCGAUCGUCAAACAUGGGCAUGG